GUUUGAUCCUGGCUCAGAACGAACGCUGGCGGCGUGCCUAACACAUGCAAGUCGGACGCGAAAAGCAGUAAUGCUGAGUAGAGUGGCGCACGGGUGAGUAAUACGUAAAUGACCUAUCUGUUGAAUCGGAAUAACCGUUCGAAAGGAUGGCUAAUACUGGAUAAGCCUGUUUGUUAAGACAAAUAGGGAAAGGUUGGUUGUGAGACCAAUCGUCAGCAGGAGGGUUUGCGGCCCAUCAGGUAGUUGGCGGGGUAAAGGCCACCAAGCCGAAGACGGGUAGCUGGUCUGAGAGGAUGAUCAGCCACACUGGAACUGAGACACGGUCCAGACUCCUACGGGAGGCAGCAGUGGGGAAUCUUGCGCAAUGGACGAAAGUCUGACGCAGCAACGCCGCGUGGGUGAUGAAGGUUUUCGGAUCGUAAAGCCCUGUCGGAGGGAAGAUGGUGUAAACAAUGAAUAAGUGUUACAUUGACGGUACCUUAAGGAAGCACCGGCUAACUCUGUGCCAGCAGCCGCGGU
This 519-nucleotide ribosomal RNA is filed under the name uncultured bacterium. RNAcentral describes it as "bacterial SSU rRNA". It matches the Rfam family "Bacterial small subunit ribosomal RNA", at positions 11 to 521 of the family's 1533-position model. The record is from RNAcentral.